This is a long non-coding RNA of Myxocyprinus asiaticus (Chinese sucker), 1269 nucleotides long. RefSeq lists it as uncharacterized. The record is from RefSeq and is a predicted model, not a curated record. Lineage: Eukaryota; Metazoa; Chordata; Actinopteri; Cypriniformes; Catostomidae. The transcript is spliced from 3 exons.
GCUUUUUAAACUAAUUAAAAGAAAGUCAAAGCUCUAGGGUGCUUCUCAUUUCUGAAAUUGAACAUUCUCAUUUCCUUUAGGGGUGGGUAAAAAUAUCUCGAGUCUUAAAUCCCACGAUCGACUUUUACUCUACGUGCACUCCACUUCACUGAGAGUAAAAGUUCGGUUAAACUCGUUCUGUGUGUCCAAAGAUGAGAUCCACAUGAUCCAUUUGACCCUGAAUAAUGUCUCUUUAUAUCCGUUCUGUUCUUUAUCAUCAGUUGUUGAUCAAAAAUCACAACAAAAAAAACAUUUAAUUCUAAUCACGCAUAGCACAGAUGAUAUAAAGUCAUUGAGUCUCUCUCGUUAGCAUUACAGAAGUGCCAUUUUUUAAAAGGUGUACUCAGUCAAUUGUUUGAAAAUGCUGUCUUGGAUUUACACAGACACUGAGGCAUGAAUGCAGUAUCAUUCAAACACAGUUUGUUCUUAUAGUUACAGAUGCCAUUUUUGAAAUUCACUAUUCAUAGUCAGAGGUGGGUAGUAAUGCACCUCAUUUACUCCGUUACAUUUACUUGAGUAACGUUUUGAUAAACAAAUUACUUUCAGAGUAGGUUUAAAAGUGGUUACUUCUUACUCUCACUCAAGUAAAUUUCUAAUGAUUUUUUUUUACUUUUACUUCUUUACAGUGGGCGGGUUACUUUCGUUACAUUACUGGGUUUAAUUUUAGUUAAUGUGUAAUUUAUUGAGAGAUUAUUGAAUGGGACUUUUACGCUGAAGUUCACACAGCUGCGCGCGCUAAAUAAUAGUUUCGUCAUGCAGUGCCUUCAUUUAACUCCAAGACAAGCUGAUAUUUCAAGAUUAAAAUCAUAUCUCCAAUUUAAAGCAGCACGCUGAGUCGACUGAAAACUGUUUGGAAGAAUAAUGUAAUCAAUGAGAAUGCUGCAAAUGAUCUCCAAUCAUCUCGUGAGGUGCUGCGAGUUUUGCUUUAUUUCCACAGAACAGCUCGCUCUAACACAACUCUGCAGUUUGUUGACUGCACACCAACAUGGAGGUAAAAAGCAGGAGCUGAUAUAAAAAAAUAGCUUUACAUAUUAACAUGGAUCUAGUAAUCUGCUUAAAUUGGCAUAAACAACCGACCAAACUAUUACCUCACAAACAUAAUUUAAAAAGCAUUACUUAAUGAAGACUCAUGUGCUGAUAUAAACUCCACUUACAAUGUGUGCUUAAAAGCAGGAUCCUUUCUUUUUUUUUCUGCAAUGCAUUUCAUGUAAUGCUGCAAAUGAAGAAUGA